UCCUCCUUAGCCAAGUGGUAAGGCAUCACACUGUUAAUGUGACUAUCGCAAGUUCGAAUCUUGCAGGAGGAG
RNAcentral lists this transfer RNA (72 nucleotides) under Bacillus phage Eldridge. It matches the Rfam family "tRNA". Rfam says of the family: Transfer RNA (tRNA) molecules are approximately 80 nucleotides in length. Their secondary structure includes four short double-helical elements and three loops (D, anti-codon, and T loops). The record is from Rfam by way of RNAcentral. Lineage: Duplodnaviria; Heunggongvirae; Uroviricota; Caudoviricetes; Herelleviridae.